RNAcentral lists this long non-coding RNA (535 nucleotides) under Nicotiana tabacum (common tobacco). RNAcentral describes it as "long non-coding RNA (NTAB_LNC012702)". Lineage: Eukaryota; Viridiplantae; Streptophyta; Magnoliopsida; Solanales; Solanaceae. The record is from RNAcentral.
CCGUAGACUAGUCCUCAAUGACCUUUCCUCUUGAAUCGACCUCUUCGCGCAUCGAAUCUAGUCAAAACCACAACGAAUAUGUCACAAUAGGCUAAAGGAAUAUAGCCCAAUCGAAAAGACUCGAAAAAUGUUGAAAAUUCCGAAAUUAGCAAAACCCGAGCCCCGGGCCCACUUCUCGAAAAAUUACAAAAGUCAUAUCACCGGAUUCCUUGUCUCGCCACGAGUCCGUACAUAUAAAAUUUACCAAAAUCGGAGUUCAUUUGACCCCUCAAAUCACCAAAUCUUAUUUUCAAAUCCCUAGGCCUAAAUCCUUAAUUUUUCUACAAUUUUCAUGCUCAAAUCCAUACAUAAUUGAUGUACUUAACUUAAAAUAGGUGGGGAUAACUUACCUUCACAUUGAUGAUGAAAAUCCCCUCUUGAAGCUCCCCAAAAAUCGUCCAUACUUUGAAGAAAUGAAGAAAAGUGAGCUAAAUCCGUGUAUAAAAGAAUCUGCCUGUGCUUCGUCGAGUUGUACCUUGCACUUGUGCUAUACAAG